AGAGUUUGUAUUCUGGCUCAGGAUGAACGCUGGCGGCGUGCCUAACACAUGCAAGUCGAACGAAGCAGGGGGGCGGAAUCUCUCCGGAGGGGAAGCCCCCCUGACUGAGUGGCGGACGGGUGAGUAACGCGUGGACAACCUACCCCGCACUGGGGGACAACAGCCGGAAACGGCUGCUAAUACCGCAUAUGCGCACGGCCCCGCAUGGGGCCGCGCGGAAAGCGCAUGCGGUGCGGGAUGGGUCCGCGUCUGAUUAGCUUGUUGGCGGGGUAACGGCCCACCAAGGCGACGAUCAGUAGCCGGCCUGAGAGGGUGGACGGCCACAUUGGGACUGAGACACGGCCCAGACUCCUACGGGAGGCAGCAGUGGGGGAUAUUGCACAAUGGGGGCAACCCUGAUGCAGCGACGCCGCGUGAGCGAUGGAGUACUUCGGUAUGUAAAGCUCUGUCAGCAGGGAAGAGAAUGACGGUACCUGACCAAGAAGCCCCGGCUAAAUACGUGCCAGCAGCCGCGGUAAUACGUAUGGGGCAAGCGUUAUCCGGAUUUACUGGGUG
This 555-nucleotide ribosomal RNA is filed under the name uncultured bacterium. RNAcentral describes it as "bacterial SSU rRNA". It matches the Rfam family "Bacterial small subunit ribosomal RNA", at positions 8 to 560 of the family's 1533-position model. The record is from RNAcentral.